Molecule: ribosomal RNA, 253 nt
Filed under: uncultured bacterium
Lineage: Bacteria
Description: partial 16S ribosomal RNA
Rfam family: Bacterial small subunit ribosomal RNA
Source: RNAcentral
UACGAAGGGGGCUAGCGUUGUUCGGAAUUACUGGGCGUAAAGCGCGCGUAGGCGGUGAUCUUUGUCAGAGGUGAAAGCCCGGAGCUCAACUCCGGAAUUGCCUUUGAAACGGGAUCGCUUGAGUCCGAGAGAGGAUGGCGGAAUUCCUAGUGUAGAGGUGAAAUUCGUAGAUAUUAGGAAGAACACCGGUGGCGAAGGCGGCCAUCUGGCUCGGUACUGACGCUCAGGCGCGAAAGCGUGGGGAGCAAACAGG